This 253-nucleotide ribosomal RNA is filed under the name uncultured bacterium. RNAcentral describes it as "partial 16S ribosomal RNA". It matches the Rfam family "Bacterial small subunit ribosomal RNA", at positions 524 to 776 of the family's 1533-position model. RNAcentral also lists the same sequence under 1 other name. The record is from RNAcentral.
GACGAAGGAUGCAAGCGUUAUCCGGAUUCAUUGGGUUUAAAGGGUGCGUAGGCGGACUGAUAAGUCAGUGGUGAAAUCUCUUUGCUUAACAAAGAAACUGCCAUUGAUACUGUCGGUCUAGAGUAUAGAUGACGUUGGCGGAAUAUGACAUGUAGUGGUGAAAUACUUAGAUAUGUCAUAGAACACCGAUUGCGAAGGCAGCUAACGAAACUAUAACUGACGCUGAGGCACGAAAGUGCGGGGAUCAAACAGG